AGUAAACGGCGGCCGUAACAAUAACGGUCCUAAGGUAGCGAAAUUCCUUGUCGGGUAAGUUCCGACCCGCACGAAAGGCGUAAUGAUUUGGGCACUGUCUCAACGAGAGACUCGGUGAAAUUUUAGUACCUGUGAAGAUGCAGGUUACCCGCGACAGGACGGAAAGACCCCAUGGAGCUUUACUGCAGUUUGAUAUUGAGUGUCUGUACCACAUGUACAGGAUAGGUAGGAGUCUAUGAGAUCGGGACGCCAUUUUCGAAGGAGACGUUGUUGGGAUUCUACCCUUGUGUUAUGGCCACUCUAACCCGGAUAGGUGAUCCCUAUCGGAG
RNAcentral lists this ribosomal RNA (329 nucleotides) under Anophryoides haemophila. Its description in RNAcentral is "partial Bacterial large subunit ribosomal RNA". It matches the Rfam family "Bacterial large subunit ribosomal RNA", at positions 1922 to 2250 of the family's 2925-position model. The record is from RNAcentral. Lineage: Eukaryota; Ciliophora; Oligohymenophorea; Philasterida; Glauconematidae.